This 28-nucleotide small RNA is filed under the name Arabidopsis thaliana (thale cress). RNAcentral's name for it is "ATSL127640". The record is from RNAcentral. Lineage: Eukaryota; Viridiplantae; Streptophyta; Magnoliopsida; Brassicales; Brassicaceae.
GUUUUUUUCUUCUCCUUAGUGCGAGAUU